This 280-nucleotide ribosomal RNA is filed under the name uncultured prokaryote. RNAcentral describes it as "partial 16S ribosomal RNA". It matches the Rfam family "Bacterial small subunit ribosomal RNA", at positions 524 to 803 of the family's 1533-position model. The record is from RNAcentral.
UACGUAGGGGCUAGCGUUAUCCGGAAUUACUGGGCGUAAAGGGUGCGUAGGUGGUUUCUUAAGUCAGAGGUGAAAGGCUACGGCUCAACCGUAGUAAGCCUUUGAAACUGGGAAACUUGAGUGCAGGAGAGGAGAGUGGAAUUCCCGGUGUAGCGGUGAAAUGCGUAGAUAUUAGGAGGAACACCAGUGGCGAAGGCGACUUUCUGGCUCAUACCUGACGCUGAGGCGCGAAAGCGUGGGGAGCAAACAGGAUUAGAUACCCGCGUAGUCCCUGAGCGGG